UUUUUCCAGAGUCUUACACAGAUUUCAAUGUGUUUUUCUUAGGUGGCUGAGCUAUAUGAAGAGCUGAAGAGCAGAGUCUCACAGUUCAACAUGCAUGUGGACCCGAGGCAGCCCAUCUUGGACCCAGAGUACCCGUAUAAGCAGCGCUUUAUCCUGCAGGUCGUAUUGGCAGGUGCUUUUUACCCAAAUUACUUCACCUUUGGACAGCCUGACGAGGAGAUGGCAGUGAGGGAGCUGGCUGGCAAAGACCCCA
RNAcentral lists this long non-coding RNA (253 nucleotides) under Cavia porcellus (domestic guinea pig). RNAcentral's name for it is "lncRNA (ENSCPOG00000035920.1)". Lineage: Eukaryota; Metazoa; Chordata; Mammalia; Rodentia; Caviidae. The record is from RNAcentral.